Molecule: long non-coding RNA, 231 nt
Organism: Dermochelys coriacea (leatherback sea turtle)
Lineage: Eukaryota; Metazoa; Chordata; Testudines; Dermochelyidae
Exons: 3
Source: RefSeq, a predicted model, not a curated record
CAGAGAGCAGUUUGAAGGAGUUGAAGUAGAGUGGAUUGGUGUUGGAGCAGAGAGCAGUUUGGAGGAGUUGAAGCAGAUUGGAUUGGUGUUGGAACAGAGAGCGGUUUGGAGGAAUUGAAGUAGAGUGGAUUGGUGUUGGAGCAGAGAGCAGUUUGGAGGGAAGCAGAGGAGAGUUUGGAGAAGUGCUAUGGUGAGCUAAGAAGACCAAGACCCUAGGUAAAGGGACACAUG